Non-coding RNA from Mesocricetus auratus (golden hamster), 57 nucleotides. The record is from Rfam. NCBI's taxonomy places the organism in Eukaryota, Metazoa, Chordata, Mammalia, Rodentia, Cricetidae.
GGCUCAGCGGUUAAGAGCACUGGCUGCUCUUCCAGAGGACCUGGGUUCAAUUCCCAG